RNAcentral lists this ribosomal RNA (468 nucleotides) under uncultured bacterium. Its description in RNAcentral is "partial 16S ribosomal RNA". It matches the Rfam family "Bacterial small subunit ribosomal RNA", at positions 28 to 507 of the family's 1533-position model. The record is from RNAcentral.
GACGAACGCUGGCGGCGUGCUUAACACAUGCAAGUCGAACGGAAAGGCCCUGCUUUUGUGGGGUGCUCGAGUGGCGAACGGGUGAGUAACACGUGAGUAACCUGCCCUUGACUUUGGGAUAACUUCAGGAAACUGGGGCUAAUACCGGAUAGGAGCUCCUGCUGCAUGGGGGGGGAUGGAAAGUUUCGGCGGUUGGGGAUGGACUCGCGGCUUAUCAGCUUGUUGGUGGGGUAGUGGCUUACAAAGGCUUUGACGGGUAGCCGGCCUGGGAGGGUGACCGGCCACCUUGGGACUGAGAUACGGCCCAGACUCCUACGGGAGGCAGCAGUGGGGAAUAUUGCACAAUGGGCGGAAGCCUGAUGCAGCAACGCCGCGUGCGGGAUGACGGCCUUCGGGUUGUAAACCGCUUUCGCCUGUGACGAAGCGUGAGUGACGGUAAUGGGUAAAGAAGCACCGGCUAACUACGUG